This 490-nucleotide ribosomal RNA is filed under the name uncultured Spirosoma sp. RNAcentral describes it as "partial 16S ribosomal RNA". Lineage: Bacteria; Pseudomonadati; Bacteroidota; Cytophagia; Cytophagales; Cytophagaceae. The record is from RNAcentral.
CACGGAGUUAGCCGGUGCUUAUUCCUCUGGUACCGUCAAAUAAUCCCGCAGGACCACAGUUCUUCCCAGAUAAAAAGCAGUUUACGACGCUGAGCGCCUUCAUCCUGCACGCGGCAUGGCUGGGUCAGAGUUGCCUCCAUUGCCCAAUAUUCCCUACUGCUGCCUCCCGUAGGAGUUGGGUCCGUAUCUCAGUACCCAUGUGGGGGCCAAUCCUCUCAGAACCCCUACUGAUCACUGUCUUGGUGGGCCGUUACCCCGCCAACUAACUAAUCAGACGCAAGCCCCUCCCAUACCCAUAAAAUGUUUACCCGGCCUGUCAUGAAACAGAAAGGGACUAUGCGGGUUUACCCCGGCUUUCGCCAGGCUAUCCCCCGGUAUGGGGCAGGUUGCUUACGCGUUACGCACCCGUUUGCCACUGUCCUUGCGGACCGUUCGACUUGCAUGUAUUAGGCCUGCCGCUAGCGUUCAUCCUGAGCCAGGAUCAAACUCU